RNAcentral lists this long non-coding RNA (2378 nucleotides) under Musa acuminata (dwarf banana). RNAcentral describes it as "long non-coding RNA (MACU_LNC010186)". Lineage: Eukaryota; Viridiplantae; Streptophyta; Magnoliopsida; Zingiberales; Musaceae. The record is from RNAcentral.
CUACCUCGACUCUAAUCUCACUACUCCUAUACUAAGAAACUACUAAUUAAUAGAGGCCAAGCAGAGAAGCCACUAACUACUAUGAGUUUCCGUUUCAAGAUCAGUCGUAUAUAGAAUAGAAUGACGGGGACCUAAUUGAAUCUUUGGAAGCAGCGUACUUAAUAAUAGGGCAGAAGGAGAGUUCCAGAAGAUAGAUCCGGAUAAGAAGCCAAAGAGUCAUUUCAUCCUUCAGCGUUAAGUUCAGUAUUGCCAGUUUGUUUUGGUGCUUCUGAAAGGAUAGUCAGCCUUGUUCAUUUGAUCGGGAAAGAAAUACCAAUGAGUAGGGUUUCUCGGGCUAAAGUAAGCUACCAGUGCUACUACUACUAGGGCAGCUAGUCAACUCAAUGGAAUUCUGAUCUUCAAGUCCUUUGUUCGCCAGUCCCUUAUUCUUUGUAUUAUAAUAGUUCAAUUGCUUGGCCCCUUAGCACUCCGACCCUAAAUAAGAAAUAGCAUUAGCAGUUACUCAGCCUCUGGCCUUUAGUGUCACGUCUGCCUAUGUCCUCAUUUAUAGCAUACGGGUUCGGCUACCAAUAAAUAUGCAAUUCAGACACCAAAGAGACUCGUAGUCAACUGCGUCGGUCAAGUUGAGUUUCAAGCGUAGGUAUAAGGAAGCAAGUUUCAUAAGAGAAAUCCUGGGGUAUUAUAUAUAAGAUCUUGUCAUUACGGAAUCCGAGGAUAAAGUCAGCGCAAUUAAUGGAGUUGCGGGAAGUGUAGUUUAGGUCGGUUUACAGUAUUGGCAACGAGAAUCCUAUGUCAAUGUCAAUUUCUUCUAAAUAAGAAUAUCAUGAUCAACUACUGCCUAUUUUCAUGUUGCUUGUUGGAUGAGAGGCUGAAGUCAGUGGGAAAUCCUGAAUAAUCAAUCCAACAGUGGAUGUAGGGCCGGUGUGCAGUCAAUGGAGUAAUGGCGGACCGGACCAAGCAGAGCAGGGAAUUCAUUAUUGUGUUUUACCCUCCGUUCAACUCAUCUUAUGGCUAAUGUACUAAUCGAUGAAGAAAAGGCAGAUUUCUAGUCAAAUGGGUUCUACUCAUCACACGGUAUAGAAAAACAGGUCAUAUUCUACAGUUAUAUACUCCAAGGUAAUAUUCUACAGUUAUAUACUCCAAACUCUAUUCUUUCUAUGGUUCUUUUCUACUUUGCCUCCCUUCUUCUUGCUUGCCCUUUUUUUCCUUUUAUACUUUUCCAAGCAAUCUUCUGCGCGCUAAAUUUCUACUCCAAAGUUUGGAAUAUCAUUUAUAUAUUGUGAACACUCGAACAGAACAGGAACUGGCCGACAAGGAAAGGAGUCUUUAAUAAGUGGGGGUCUCUCGAUACUUAUAUUCUAUCUGAUAGUCACCUUCCAACUGAUUCAUAAGGUUUUAAGUGCUUUCAGCCUUACCAGCAUCGGGGCUUUUUCAAAGAAUGUGAUUUCUGGGUGCGCUAACGCAUACUUUCGGGCUUAUUGUCGUUGCUUCUUGUUGUUCACAUGUUUGUUCCGUUGAAUAGCUUUGACAGAUUCUUUCAACAGUCAGAACGGAGAUGAUAUUCUAUACAUAUGUCACUGAUAUUUGAUUGGAAUUCUGUAUUUAUUUGCUGAUUACGAAGAAGUAAGCGCGAGCCCAAACUCGAAGUCAAGUGUUUUAGGGCAAGGCGCAGAAAGAUGGCUAUAGACACGACCGACCCCAUAGGAACUAUUUCUGCCAGGCCAUUAGCUACGUUGAACAUAGGUUGUUUUACGACUAGAAUCUAAUGGCUAACAACUACAACUCUGAUAGAGAUGCUUCUCAAAGCGAGCUGUCGGCAAAAGAAUGGAAUGGAACUCAAAAAGGAGACCCUACUCUGGCCGAGUAAAGUUAUUAUUAACAUGCGAGUAUUUAUAACCCUAACCUCUCGUGAGAAGAUAGUGGCUGAUUUCUCGAGAAAAAGAAUUCGGAGUUCAGCGCGAAACGACUUCGGGGAGUUCCUGUCUUGUCUUCAGCUUCAAGUAUAACUCGCUAAUGCACAACUCUGAGCUCAACUCACUUUGGCCAACACAAAAGAUGAGACUUGACCAUCGCCCUGAAAUACUAAUGCGCUUAACUAGAGAAAGAAUCAUGGAAUUUGUGUGAAUAGAUCCAGAAUUACCAAGAGCUAUAUACUAUAGACUGACGUGAAGUGUAAGUAAGGUUUAGGGGCAGACUAUUUGCGCCGGUAAAGUAUGUUAUGUAUAUGGGUUUUACGUCGGUAGAUAGAGGUUCGAGGUAUGGUCCAAAGAGUAGAGUUCCAUAAGAUGCAAUCGAUUCUUCAAGUUUAGAGUAAGGAGUUCGAAAUGAAGCGAAGGGAGUAAGUGAGCCCUGUUCCUAAUCCUAUGUUGUAAGAAGCC